UUCUGGAUCGUUCCAGAGCUCCCCAAGGGAGCCAAACCCUAACUCAACAAUAUUCAUCAAAUUGAAGGGUGAAUUGAAGCUCAAAUUAUCAACCGAACGUGAAUUAGUGAUCACCAAUACAAGGGGAUCAUAAGGCAUAAGGAUCAUGUGAAAAUGGACUCAAGCAAGAAAGGCAAAAGGGUCAAAAGGAGGCAAGGGAACGGACGCAAAAAGGUUGUACGGGUCACGGAGGAUCAUCAAGGAAUAAAGAUCGAGGACCGAGUCACAUGAAGGAUUGUACGGGGUUGUCUAAGGAUGUAAUUUGUUAUACAUAAGUUAUGAUUUAUUCUA
Helianthus annuus (common sunflower) is the source of this 330-nucleotide long non-coding RNA. RefSeq lists it as uncharacterized. The transcript is spliced from 3 exons. NCBI's taxonomy places the organism in Eukaryota, Viridiplantae, Streptophyta, Magnoliopsida, Asterales, Asteraceae. The record is from RefSeq and is a predicted model, not a curated record.